CCCUCGAUAGCUCAGUGGCAGAGCGGAGGACUGUAGAUGUUACAACGGUGAUCCUUAGGUCGCUGGUUCAAAUCCGGCUCGAGGGA
RNAcentral lists this transfer RNA (86 nucleotides) under Cordylochernes scorpioides. RNAcentral describes it as "tRNA-Tyr". It matches the Rfam family "tRNA". Rfam says of the family: Transfer RNA (tRNA) molecules are approximately 80 nucleotides in length. Lineage: Eukaryota; Metazoa; Arthropoda; Arachnida; Pseudoscorpiones; Chernetidae. The record is from RNAcentral.